RNAcentral lists this ribosomal RNA (1441 nucleotides) under human gut metagenome. RNAcentral describes it as "bacterial LSU rRNA". It matches the Rfam family "Bacterial large subunit ribosomal RNA", at positions 446 to 1980 of the family's 2925-position model. The record is from RNAcentral.
GGGGGGACCACCCUCCAACCCUAAAUACUACCCAGUGACCGAUAGCGUAUAGUACUGUGAAGGAAAGGUGAAAAGGACCCCGGGAGGGGAGUGAAAUAGAACCUGAAACCUUGUGCCUACAAGCACAUAGAGCACAUCAACGUGUGAUAUGGUACUUUUUGUAGAACGGUCCGGCGAGCGAUUGUAUGUUGCGAGCUUAAGGUCUUAAGGACUGGAGGCGCAGCGAGAGCGAGUCUGAACAGGGCGUUCAGUAACAUGCAAUGGGCCCGAAACCGGGUGACCUACCCAUGAUCAGGCUGAAGUGAAAGUAAAAUUUCAUGGAGGGCCGAACCGACCUCCGUUGAAAAGGCGGCGGAUGAAUUGUGGGUAGCGGAGAAAUUCCAAUCGAACUCGGAGAUAGCUGGUUCUCCCCGAAAUAGCUUUAGGGCUAGCCUCAUAUUAGAUACCCGGAGGUAAAGCACUGAAUGGCCUAGCGCCCGAGAGGGUAGCGAAGCCUAUCAAACUAAGAAUGCCGGAGUAUUGAUGUAUGGGAGUCAGACAGUGUGAGAUAAAUCUCAUUGUCAAAAGGGAAACAGCCCAGAUCUACAGCUAAGGUCCCAAAUUGUAUCUAAGUGGAAAACGAUGUGGAAAUACGCAGACAACCAGGAUGUUGGCUCAGAAGCAGCCACUCAUUUAAAGAGUGCGUAAUAGCUCACUGGUCGAGCGUCUCUGCGCGGAAAAUUUAACGGGGCUAAGAUACAAACCGAAGCUUAGGCUGCACGUAAGUGCGGGGUAGGGGAGCGUUGUGUAAGCGGAGAAACAGUAGCGUAAGCGGCUGUGGAGUUUACAGAAGUGAGAAUGCCGGAAUGAGUAGCGCGAAUGUGGUGAGAAUCCACAUGGCCGGAAACCUCAGGUUUUUGGAGGAAGGUUCGUCCGCUCCAAGUUAGGCGGGAGCUAAGGUCAGGCCGAAAGGCGUAGCCGAUGCACAGACGGUAGAGAUUCCGUCCCCACCGAAAGAUUUAAGCACAGGGACACUUUUUGAAGGUCGGAGCCAGGUGUUGGUUCUGGUAGUGAUCGAGGGAAAUAUAGUACCGAAGUCCGGCUGGAAGAGAGGCGAGAAAAGCUGUGUGUAUAUCUAAGGUGCCCGUACCGCAAACCGACACAGGUAGGUAGGAAGAAGAUUCUAAGGCCAACGGGAGAAGGGUUGUUAAGGAACUCGGCAAAUUGACCCCGUAACUUCGGGAGAAGGGGUGCUCCAGAGAUGGAGCCGCAGAGAAUCGGCCCAAGCAACUGUUUACCAAAAACACAGGUUUGUGCUAAAUCGAAAGAUGACGUAUACGAGCUGACGCCUGCCCGGUGCUGGAAGGUUAAAAGGAGAUGUGCAAGCAUUGAAUUGAAGCCCCAGUGAACGGCGGCCGUAACUAUAACGGUCCUAAGGUAGCGAAAUUCCUUGUCAGGUAAG